Molecule: long non-coding RNA, 118 nt
Organism: Amblyraja radiata (thorny skate)
Lineage: Eukaryota; Metazoa; Chordata; Chondrichthyes; Rajiformes; Rajidae
Exons: 2
Source: RefSeq, a predicted model, not a curated record
CAGCGCUCUCUGCACCUCGGCAGCAGCAACGGCUGGCAGGAGCCCGUCGGUUUGGCGUACUCUGAAUUGUUCUCUCCCCUUGCCAAGCUGUGGGGCUGGAUCUCGCUGCUGUCUCCAG